AGUGAACGCUGGCGGUAGGCCUAACACAUGCAAGUCGAACGGCAGCACAGUAAGAGCUUGCUCUUACGGGUGGCGAGUGGCGGACGGUGAGGAAUACAUCGGAAUCUACUUUUUCGUGGGGGAUAACGUAGGGAAACUUACGCUAAUACCGCAUACGACCUACGGGUGAAAGCAGGGGAUCUUCGGACCUUGCGCGAUUGAAUGAGCCGAUGUCGGAUUAGCUAGUUGGCGGGGUAAAGGCCCACCAAGGCGACGAUCCGUAGCUGGUCUGAGAGGAUGAUCAGCCACACUGGAACUGAGACACGGUCCAGACUCCUACGGGAGGCAGCAGUGGGGAAUAUUGGACAAUGGGCGCAAGCCUGAUCCAGCCAUACUGCGUGGGUGAAGAAGGCCUUCGGGUUGUAAAGCCCUUUUGUUGGGAAAGAAAAGCAGCAGGUUAAUACCCCGCUGUUCUGACGGUACCCAAAGAAUAAGCACCGGCUAACUUCGUG
This 491-nucleotide ribosomal RNA is filed under the name uncultured bacterium. RNAcentral's name for it is "partial 16S ribosomal RNA". It matches the Rfam family "Bacterial small subunit ribosomal RNA", at positions 29 to 507 of the family's 1533-position model. The record is from RNAcentral.